This 1449-nucleotide ribosomal RNA is filed under the name uncultured organism. RNAcentral describes it as "SSU rRNA". It matches the Rfam family "Bacterial small subunit ribosomal RNA". The record is from RNAcentral.
CUACAGGCUUAACACAUGCAAGUCGAGGGGCAGCAUGGUCUUAGCUUGCUAAGGCCGAUGGCGACCGGCGCACGGGUGAGUAACACGUAUCCAACCUGCCGUCUACUCUUGGACAGCCUUCUGAAAGGAAGAUUAAUACAAGAUGGCAUCAUGAGUCCGCAUGUUCACAUGAUUAAAGGUAUUCCGGUAGACGAUGGGGAUGCGUUCCAUUAGAUAGUAGGCGGGGUAACGGCCCACCUAGUCUUCGAUGGAUAGGGGUUCUGAGAGGAAGGUCCCCCACAUUGGAACUGAGACACGGUCCAAACUCCUACGGGAGGCAGCAGUGAGGAAUAUUGGUCAAUGGGCGAGAGCCUGAACCAGCCAAGUAGCGUGAAGGAUGACUGCCCUAUGGGUUGUAAACUUCUUUUAUAAAGGAAUAAAGUCGGGUAUGGAUACCCGUUUGCAUGUACUUUAUGAAUAAGGAUCGGCUAACUCCGUGCCAGCAGCCGCGGUAAUACGGAGGAUCCGAGCGUUAUCCGGAUUUAUUGGGUUUAAAGGGAGCGUAGAUGGAUGUUUAAGUCAGUUGUGAAAGUUUGCGGCUCAACCGUAAAAUUGCAGUUGAUACUGGAUAUCUUGAGUGCAGUUGAGGCAGGCGGAAUUCGUGGUGUAGCGGUGAAAUGCUUAGAUAUCACGAAGAACUCCGAUUGCGAAGGCAGCCUGCUAAGCUGCAACUGACAUUGAGGCUCGAAAGUGUGGGUAUCAAACAGGAUUAGAUACCCUGGUAGUCCACACGGUAAACGAUGAAUACUCGCUGUUUGCGAUAUACAGCAAGCGGCCAAGCGAAAGCGUUAAGUAUUCCACCUGGGGAGUACGCCGGCAACGGUGAAACUCAAAGGAAUUGACGGGGGCCCGCACAAGCGGAGGAACAUGUGGUUUAAUUCGAUGAUACGCGAGGAACCUUACCCGGGCUUAAAUUGCAGAUGAAUUACGGUGAAAGCCGUAAGCCGCAAGGCAUCUGUGAAGGUGCUGCAUGGUUGUCGUCAGCUCGUGCCGUGAGGUGUCGGCUUAAGUGCCAUAACGAGCGCAACCCUUGUUGUCAGUUACUAACAGGUUCCGCUGAGGACUCUGACAAGACUGCCAUCGUAAGAUGUGAGGAAGGUGGGGAUGACGUCAAAUCAGCACGGCCCUUACGUCCGGGGCUACACACGUGUUACAAUGGGGGGUACAGAGGGCCGCUACCACGCGAGUGGAUGCCAAUCCCCAAAACCUCUCUCAGUUCGGACUGGAGUCUGCAACCCGACUCCACGAAGCUGGAUUCGCUAGUAAUCGCGCAUCAGCCACGGCGCGGUGAAUACGUUCCCGGGCCUUGUACACACCGCCCGUCAAGCCAUGGGAGCCGGGGGUACCUGAAGUGCGUAACCGCGAGGAGCGCCCUAGGGUAAAACUGGUGACUGGGGCUAAGUCAUAACA